GGCCUUGAAGUAUUUGUUACGUUGAAUUGCAAAUUCAGAGGAGUAGCUGAUUGCUGCCAGGGCUU
This 65-nucleotide transfer RNA is filed under the name Dromiciops gliroides (monito del monte). RNAcentral describes it as "transfer RNA-Cys". The record is from RNAcentral. Lineage: Eukaryota; Metazoa; Chordata; Mammalia; Microbiotheria; Microbiotheriidae.